Molecule: non-coding RNA, 320 nt
Organism: Phascolarctos cinereus (koala)
Lineage: Eukaryota; Metazoa; Chordata; Mammalia; Diprotodontia; Phascolarctidae
Source: RefSeq, a predicted model, not a curated record
CCUGCUUCUUCAGCUCCAUUGCUCUGGGGGAUCUGGAGGCUGUGAGGGAGCAGCUGAAGGAGAUUCACCAAAGGGGCCUGGAACUCACACAUCCCUUUCUCCGAGAGGGAACCAUGGGGAAGACCUGCCUGAUGAAGGCGCUGCUGAGGUCUCAGGACAAGAGUGAGCAGCAGGUCCUGGCCAUGGUAAGGACUCUGCUUCAGCACGCUGAGGAGCACGGGGAGCUAGCCACUCUGCUGAACGCUUCCUACACAGACAAGGUCUACCGGGGACAGACAGCCUUGCACAUUGCUGUAGAGAGGGGCCUGCAGGGUGUUGUC